CACCGACAACUAAUCACACCCACAAUCACCAAGGCAGCAAGGCACUGGAAUAUUUCUUGACGCGAAGAAAUGGUGCAGCACCAAUCUGACGCACGCACAGCGGCGCGGGAACGAAGAACAACGUCGCGAGAUUUCUUGUUUCUCGGCGGAUGUGGACAGAGCUCGACAGGCUCCUGGCAGUUUGUGAUGGAAAAAGAAGGUCUAAAAGUGUCAUGGUCAUGGCCCAAUUAGGUGAUAUAUUAUCAUGUUGUUAUGUCUUCAAAACGCGAGGUUGUGUUGCAUCAUAAGGAUACGACACCAUAGGCUGCAUAUAUGAGUAUGUGAUGGUGGUUCAUUAAAAUAAUUGUUUUUAAUUGAUCA
Molecule: long non-coding RNA, 360 nt
Organism: Phragmites australis (common reed)
Lineage: Eukaryota; Viridiplantae; Streptophyta; Magnoliopsida; Poales; Poaceae
Exons: 2
Source: RefSeq, a predicted model, not a curated record